RNAcentral lists this ribosomal RNA (279 nucleotides) under uncultured bacterium. Its description in RNAcentral is "partial 16S ribosomal RNA". It matches the Rfam family "Bacterial small subunit ribosomal RNA", at positions 506 to 784 of the family's 1533-position model. The record is from RNAcentral.
UGCCAGCCGCCGCGGUAAUACGGAGGGUGCAAGCGUUAUCCGGAAUCACUGGGUUUAAAGGGUGCGUAGGCGGUUAAAUAAGUCAGAAGUGAAAGCCCACCGCUUAACGGUGGAACUGCUUUUGAUACUGUAUAACUUGAAUUAGGUUGAGGUUAGCGGAAUGUGGCAUGUAGCGGUGAAAUGCAUAGAUAUGCCAUAGAACACCAAUUGCGAAGGCAGCUGGCUAGACCUUAAUUGACGCUGAGGCACGAAAGCGUGGGGAGCGAACAGGAUUAGAUA